GUUAUAUGGUCAAGUGAAGAAGCGCAUACGGUGGAUGCCUUGGCAGUCAGAGGCGAUGAAAGACGUGGUAGCCUGCGAAAAAGCUUCGGGGAGUCGGCAAACAGACUUUGAUCCGGAGAUGUCUGAAUGGGGGAACCCAGCCAUCAUAAGAUGGUUAUCUUGUACUGAAUACAUAGGUGCAAGAGGCGAACCAGGGGAACUGAAACAUCUAAGUACCCUGAGGAAAAGAAAUCAACCGAGAUUCCCUUAGUAGUGGCGAGCGAACGGGGACUAGCCCUUAAGUGGCUUUGAGAUUAGCGGAACGCUCUGGAAAGUGCGGCCAUAGUGGGUGAUAGCCCUGUACGCGAAAAUCUCUUAGUCAUGAAAUCGAGUAGGACGGAGCACGAGAAACUUUGUCUGAAUAUGGGGGGACCAUCCUCCAAGGCUAAAUACUACUGACUGACCGAUAGUGAACUAGUACCGUGAGGGAAAGGCGAAAAGAACCCCGGAGAGGGGAGUGAAAUAGAUCCUGAAACCGUAUGCGUACAAGCAGUGGGAGCAGACUUUGUUCUGUGACUGCGUACCUUUUGUAUAAUGGGUCAGCGACUUAUAUUCAGUGGCGAGCUUAACCGAAUAGGGGAGGCGUAGCGAAAGCGAGUCUUAAUAGGGCGUUUAGUCGCUGGGUAUAGACCCGAAACCGGGCGAUCUAUCCAUGGGCAGGUUGAAGGUUAGGUAACACUGACUGGAGGACCGAACCGACUACCGUUGAAAAGUUAGCGGAUGACCUGUGGAUCGGAGUGAAAGGCUAAUCAAGCUCGGAGAUAGCUGGUUCUCCUCGAAAGCUAUUUAGGUAGCGCCUCAUGUAUCACUGUAGGGGGUAGAGCACUGUUUCGGCUAGGGGGUCAUCCCGACUUACCAAACCGAUGCAAACUCCGAAUACCUACAAGUGCCGAGCAUGGGAGACACACGGCGGGUGCUAACGUCCGUCGUGAAAAGGGAAACAACCCAGACCGUCAGCUAAGGUCCCAAAGUUAUGGUUAAGUGGGAAACGAUGUGGGAAGGCUUAGACAGCUAGGAGGUUGGCUUAGAAGCAGCCACCCUUUAAAGAAAGCGUAAUAGCUCACUAGUCGAGUCGGCCUGCGCGGAAGAUGUAACGGGGCUCAAACCAUACACCGAAGCUACGGGUAUCACGUAAGUGAUGCGGUAGAGGAGCGUUCUGUAAGCCUGUGAAGGUGAGUUGAGAAGCUUGCUGGAGGUAUCAGAAGUGCGAAUGCUGACAUGAGUAACGACAAUGGGUGUGAAAAACACCCACGCCGAAAGACCAAGGUUUCCUGCGCAACGUUAAUCGACGCAGGGUUAGUCGGUCCCUAAGGCGAGGCUGAAAAGCGUAGUCGAUGGAAAACAGGUUAAUAUUCCUGUACUUCUAGUUAUUGCGAUGGAGGGACGGAGAAGGCUAGGCCAGCUUGGCGUUGGUUGUCCAAGUUUAAGGUGGUAGGCUGGAAUCUUAGGUAAAUCCGGGGUUCUAAGGCCGAGAGCUGAUGACGAGUUACCUUUUAGGUGACGAAGUGGUUGAUGCCAUGCUUCCAAGAAAAGCUUCUAAGCUUCAGAUAACUAGGAACCGUACCCCAAACCGACACAGGUGGUUGGGUAGAGAAUACCAAGGCGCUUGAGAGAACUCGGGUGAAGGAACUAGGCAAAAUGGCACCGUAACUUCGGGAGAAGGUGCGCCGGUGAGGGUGAAGGACUUGCUCCGUAAGCCCAUGCCGGUCGAAGAUACCAGGCCGCUGCGACUGUUUAUUAAAAACACAGCACUCUGCAAACACGAAAGUGGACGUAUAGGGUGUGACGCCUGCCCGGUGCCGGAAGGUUAAUUGAUGGGGUUAGCUAACGCGAAGCUCUUGAUCGAAGCCCCGGUAAACGGCGGCCGUAAACUAUAACGGUCCUAAGGUAGCGAAAUUCCUUGUCGGGUAAGUUCCGACCUGCACGAAUGGCGUAACGAUGGCGGCGCUGUCUCCACCCGAGACUCAGUGAAAUUGAAAUCGCUGUGAAGAUGCAGUGUAUCCGCGGCUAGACGGAAAGACCCCGUGAACCUUUACUAUAGCUUUGCACUGGACUUUGAAUUUGCUUGUGUAGGAUAGGUGGGAGGCUUUGAAGCGUGGACGCCAGUUCGCGUGGAGCCAUCCUUGAAAUACCACCCUGGCAACUUUGAGGUUCUAACUCAGGUCCGUUAUCCGGAUCGAGGACAGUGUAUGGUGGGUAGUUUGACUGGGGCGGUCUCCUCCUAAAGAGUAACGGAGGAGUACGAAGGUGCGCUCAGACCGGUCGGAAAUCGGUCGUAGAGUAUAAAGGCAAAAGCGCGCUUGACUGCGAGACAGACACGUCGAGCAGGUACGAAAGUAGGUCUUAGUGAUCCGGUGGUUCUGUAUGGAAGGGCCAUCGCUCAACGGAUAAAAGGUACUCCGGGGAUAACAGGCUGAUACCGCCCAAGAGUUCAUAUCGACGGCGGUGUUUGGCACCUCGAUGUCGGCUCAUCACAUCCUGGGGCUGAAGCCGGUCCCAAGGGUAUGGCUGUUCGCCAUUUAAAGUGGUACGCGAGCUGGGUUUAGAACGUCGUGAGACAGUUCGGUCCCUAUCUGCCGUGGACGUUUGAGAUUUGAGAGGGGCUGCUCCUAGUACGAGAGGACCGGAGUGGACGAACCUCUGGUGUUCCGGUUGUCACGCCAGUGGCAUUGCCGGGUAGCUAUGUUCGGAAAAGAUAACCGCUGAAAGCAUCUAAGCGGGAAACUUGCCUCAAGAUGAGAUCUCACUGGAACCUUGAGUUCCCUAAAGGGCCGUCGAAGACUACGACGUUGAUAGGUUGGGUGUGUAAGCGCUGUGAGGCGUUGAGCUAACCAAUACUAAUUGCCCGUGAGGCUUGACCAUAUAACACCCAAGCAAUU
RNAcentral lists this ribosomal RNA (2918 nucleotides) under Pseudomonas chlororaphis. RNAcentral describes it as "bacterial LSU rRNA". It matches the Rfam family "Bacterial large subunit ribosomal RNA". Lineage: Bacteria; Pseudomonadati; Pseudomonadota; Gammaproteobacteria; Pseudomonadales; Pseudomonadaceae. The record is from RNAcentral.